This 253-nucleotide ribosomal RNA is filed under the name uncultured bacterium. RNAcentral's name for it is "partial 16S ribosomal RNA". It matches the Rfam family "Bacterial small subunit ribosomal RNA", at positions 524 to 776 of the family's 1533-position model. The record is from RNAcentral.
UACAGAGGUCUCAAGCGUUGUUCGGAUUCAUUGGGCGUAAAGGGUGCGUAGGCGGAUUGUUAAGUCAGGGGUGAAAUCCUGGAGCUCAACUCCAGAACUGCCUUUGAUACUGGCGAUCUCGAGUCCGGGAGAGGUGAGUGGAACUGCGAGUGUAGAGGUGAAAUUCGUAGAUAUUCGCAAGAACACCAGUGGCGAAGGCGGCUCACUGGCCCGGUACUGACGCUGAGGUGCGAAAGCGUGGGGAGCAAACAGG